RNAcentral lists this ribosomal RNA (253 nucleotides) under uncultured bacterium. RNAcentral's name for it is "partial 16S ribosomal RNA". It matches the Rfam family "Bacterial small subunit ribosomal RNA", at positions 524 to 776 of the family's 1533-position model. The record is from RNAcentral.
GACGGAGGAUGCAAGCGUUAUCCGGAAUGAUUGGGCGUAAAGCGUCCGCAGGUGGCAGUUCAAGUCUGCUGUCAAAGACCGGGGCUUAACUUCGGAAAGGCAGUGGAAACUGAACAGCUAGAGUAUGGUAGGGGCAGAGGGAAUUCCUGGUGUAGCGGUGAAAUGCGUAGAGAUCAGGAAGAACAUCGGUGGCGAAGGCAGCCCCCUGGGCUAACACUGACGCUCAGGCACGAAAGCGUGGGGAGCAAACAGG